GGAGGGCUCGCAUAGUGGACUAGUGCGGCGGUCUUGAAAACCGCUAGGCGGGCAACCGUCUCGUGGGUUCGAAUCCCACGCCCUCCGCCA
Molecule: transfer RNA, 90 nt
Filed under: Austwickia chelonae NBRC 105200
Lineage: Bacteria; Bacillati; Actinomycetota; Actinomycetes; Micrococcales; Dermatophilaceae
Description: tRNA-Ser
Rfam family: tRNA
About the family: Transfer RNA (tRNA) molecules are approximately 80 nucleotides in length.
Source: RNAcentral